This 498-nucleotide ribosomal RNA is filed under the name uncultured Acidobacteriota bacterium. RNAcentral's name for it is "bacterial SSU rRNA". It matches the Rfam family "Bacterial small subunit ribosomal RNA", at positions 9 to 521 of the family's 1533-position model. Lineage: Bacteria; Pseudomonadati; Acidobacteriota. The record is from RNAcentral.
GAGUUUGAUCCUGGCUCAGAAUCAACGCUGGCGGCGUGCCUCAGACAUGCAAGUCGAACGAUUAAAGCUCCCUUCGGGGAGUGCAUAAAGUGGCGCACGGGUGAGUAACACGUAAGUAAUCUACCUUCGAGUGGGGAAUAACAGUCGGAAACGGCUGCUAAUACCGCAUAAUGCAGCGGCAUCGCAAGAUGACAGUUGUUAAAGAUUUAUCGCUUGAAGAGGAGCUUGCGGCAGAUUAGCUAGUUGGUAAGGUAAUGGCUUACCAAGGCUACGAUCUGUAACCGGUCUAAGAGGACGGUCGGUCACACUGACACUGAAUAACGGGUCAGACUCCUACGGGAGGCAGCAGUCGGGAAUUUUGGGCAAUGGGGGAAACCCUGACCCAGCAACGCCGCGUGAAGGAUGAAGUAUUUCGGUAUGUAAACUUCGAAAGAAUAGGAAGAAUUAAUGACGGUACUAUUUAUAAGGUCCGGCUAACUACGUGCCAGCAGCCGCAGU